CCCACACUUUGUCAGUUUUCCCACUUCUAUCUCACUCACUUUUAUCUCUCAAUUUUCACACACUCCCUCUUCCUAGGAGCCCUAGCUCUUUUCUCCUUCCUCUUCCGCUAUCUUUCCACGGCAACCACUGCCUCCCUCUUCGGUCUCUCCUUAAUUAACGGCCUCCUCCCUCUCGCCGGCACCAUCACCUCUGCCUGCAAGCUCUCUCUCUCUCUCUCACUCACAUAUAUUUUUGUGGCUCAUCUCGGAGGUGCAACCUGGCGUUGACUCAUCGGAGGAAGGUGAAGAACAUGGUGUCGACGGUGAGUCCACCCCGGUGGUCGGAGAUCGGUGACGGAGGAGACAUAGUCCUCCAGAUCUACUUUCUCUCUCCUCCCUCUCUAUCUUGUCUGUGCUUUUCUUUCUUCUCUAAUGAACUAGACGAAUCCAGUAGCUAACCAAGCUUGGAUGGGAUGCGGAUUUGAAAUGUAGAGGAAAUUUAUGCUGUGCCAUUUUAUUUUUUUUGAUGAUUUGGGAGUUGAAUUUUUGAUGUUUGAGGUUAUAUUUUGUUGCAGAGAUGAGUGAGUCGGCGAAGGUUUUGUACAUAGUGGUGGUGGAUGGUGAGGAAGAUUUGUUAGGUUGUUUGUGAUUGAUUGGUUCACUGUUGAAUCCCAAGGUUCCUGGGAAGAUAAAUCUUGUACUGGAGUACUGCAGAGGAGGUGAUCUUUCUAUGUAGUAUGUACAUUCAACGCCAUGGCAUGGAAAAGUACCUGAAGCUCUUGCAAAGCACUUCAUGCAGCGGCUAGGUUUUUUUCAUCUGUCCAUUUAGUUUCCAAUUUUCCAUUAAUUUGGGUCUCUUGGCAUCCUUAUUUUAAACUCUUGACCUUGUUGUUUGAUAUGGAUCUCCUACUUUUUGCAAUAGUCUUUGUUGAGUUACAUUGUUAAAAUGUGCUGACUCAAUAUUUCAUGACUUCACGUUGAUUCCUGAGUAUAGAAAGAUCCACAUGUUUGUCUAUAAUUGACCAUAAUCUUGAGAACUUUUCCAACCGGAACAUAAAUGUGGUAGGGUUUCUUUAGUGUAAAUUCCUUGUUUGCUUGCACACUCUCAAGCGUAUAAACUAUCUUGCUGUGGAAUUGGCAAGAGGAUGACCCUUAAUUGUAUAGUGUUCCAUUCUUAAUUGUAUAUAAUCCAUUGUGGGGAGAAGUGAUGAUUUGUUUUUGUUUCUGUGGCUAUCAUCAUGCAUUUUAAACUGUCAAAAGCUUGGAUAUUCUUCUUUUAUGGUGUUUUUUUGUUUAGUUAUAUGGAAUUUGAGAGAGCAUGUAUGUAACAUGUUUUGUUGUUUCUCCUCUCCUUAGCUAAAGCUAUAGAUGAGUAUGCCAGUACGUCUUAAAUCUAAGGCAGCAUAAUCAAAUGCUGAAGCAGCAAAUGCGGAUCCUAGGUUGGAGGCUAUCACGGAGAGAAUGUUGAGCAAGUGUGCAAGCUUAUGUGCUUUUAAAUGUAAAAUUUGUUCCCCUAGCUUUCUGACCAUUUUUUUCAUUUUAGGUGUAAGUGCCUUUUUUUGUAAAUUGUAAGGAUCAUGAUCAAAUACAUAAACUAAUGUAAUGCCCCAAUGUUACAACUACUCUUGAAUCAUUUUAUUUUGAGAAAUGUGGAUUGAAUA
Molecule: long non-coding RNA, 1640 nt
Organism: Rosa chinensis
Lineage: Eukaryota; Viridiplantae; Streptophyta; Magnoliopsida; Rosales; Rosaceae
Exons: 2
Source: RefSeq, a predicted model, not a curated record